This 497-nucleotide ribosomal RNA is filed under the name uncultured bacterium. RNAcentral's name for it is "partial 16S ribosomal RNA". It matches the Rfam family "Bacterial small subunit ribosomal RNA", at positions 28 to 507 of the family's 1533-position model. The record is from RNAcentral.
GAUGAACGCUGGCGGCGUGCCUAAUACAUGCAAGUCGAGCGAACAGAUGAGGAGCUUGCUCCUCUGACGUUAGCGGCGGACGGGUGAGUAACACGUGGAUAACCUACCUAUAAGACUGGUAUAAUUUCGGGAAACCGGAGCUAAUACCGGAUAAUAUAUUGAACCGCAUGGUGCAAUAGUGAAAGACGGUUUUGCUGUCACUUAUAGAGGGUUCCGCGCCGCAUUCGCUAGUUGGUAAGGUAACGGCUUACCAAGGCAAGGAUGCGUAGCCGACCUGAGAGGGUGAUCGGCCACACUGGAACGGAGACACGGUCCAGACUCCUACGGGAGGCAGCAGUAGGGAAUCUGCCGCAAUGGGCGAAAGCCUGACGGAGCAACGCCGCGUGAGUUAUGAAGGUCUUCGGAUCGUAAAACUCUGUUAUUAGGGAAGAACAAAUGUGUAAGUAACUAUGCACGUCUUGACGGUACCUAAUCAGAAAGCCACGGCUAACUACGUG